UCCGGUUUGUCACCGGCAGUCUCGCAUGAGUCCCCAACUAAAUGCUGGCAACAUGCGACGGGGGUUGCGCUCGUUGCGGGACUUAACCCAACAUCUCACGACUCGAGCUGACGACAGCCAUGCACCACCUGUGAUCCUGCCCCGAAGGGAAGCUGUGUUUCCACAGCGGUCAGGAACAUGUCAAGCCCAGGUAAGGUUCUUCGCGUUGCGUCGAAUUAAACCACAUGCUCCACCGCUUGUGCGGGCCCCCGUCAAUUCCUUUGAGUUUUAGCCUUGCGGCCGUACUCCCCAGGCGGGGUGCUUAAUGCGUUAGCUUCGGCACGGACGGGGUCGAUGUCCGCCCACACCUAGCACCCAACGUUUACGGCUAGGACUAC
RNAcentral lists this unclassified non-coding RNA (377 nucleotides) under uncultured Solirubrobacterales bacterium. RNAcentral's name for it is "contains 16S-23S intergenic spacer region". Lineage: Bacteria; Bacillati; Actinomycetota; Thermoleophilia; Solirubrobacterales. The record is from RNAcentral.